GGUCAAUUUACAUUAAUUUUAUUUAUUUUAUUUCAGUACAAAAAAAUAGAAUUUUGAAAAAAUGGCGAAGCAUGAAAAAUUUCGCAGAAAAAUCUCGUGAGGAAGAGGAGCUGCUCGUACGGGAUGCCUAUGCACUAUGCGCGCGCACAAAAGGCGUGGGACGUGCACACAACAUGCACGUCCCAUCUGCACGUGCGGCACAGGGUCAGACCAUGUGUGUGUCUUAUCACGCACAGGCGGGCUGUCCGCGCGUCACCUCACACGCGGAUAGGCGCUGCAUACUAUGCGCGUGUCGUUUAUGUAGCAAGCUUGCACAAAUAGGCCUUUGUGUGCCUGGGGCCUGUGCGCAGUAGGCUUGCGCAUGCUAUAGGAGGUCUAUGCACCUAUAGGCUAGCCUGCAGUGUGCCGGGCGGGCCGCUGCUUCUUCAAGCAAUGCGUCGCCGUCGCCUCAGGCGGUAGAGGAGACUUUUUUCCCUUGUUUUUCGUGUCGAGUAUCUUUUUUCCUCUCUCUUCAUUGAAUUUCACCACUUGGCGCAAAUCUAACGAUUCCUAAUUUUUAUAAAUAGGGUCUUUCCUUUCCAUUUUUCCCCACACUUCCAUUCUUCCAUUUUUUUUAAGAAUUAGAGAGAGAGAAAUCUAGAGAGAGAAUGGGAUGAAGAAAAUGAGAAUGACGAAGAAAAAAUAUCAAGAUUUCAGUAAGAAAUUUAAUAUUUCUUUAGAUAUCUGAAGGGUAUUUUUUAG
This 741-nucleotide long non-coding RNA is filed under the name Carica papaya (papaya). RNAcentral's name for it is "long non-coding RNA (CPAP_LNC014284)". The record is from RNAcentral. Lineage: Eukaryota; Viridiplantae; Streptophyta; Magnoliopsida; Brassicales; Caricaceae.